GGGAAUAUUGGGCAAUGGACGGAAGUCUGACCCAGCCAUGCCGCGUGCAGGAAGAAGGCCUUCUGGGUUGUAAACUGCUUUUAUCUAGGAAGAAAACACCCAUGCGUGGGAAACUGACGGUACUAGAUGAAUAAGCACCGGCUAACUCCGUGCCAGCAGCCGCGGUAAUACGGAGGGUGCAAGCGUUGUCCGGAUUUAUUGGGUUUAAAGGGUGCGUAGGCGGCCCGUUAAGUCAGUGGUGAAAUCCUCCAGCUCAACUGGAGAACUGCCAUUGAUACUGGCGGGCUUGAGUACAGACGAGGUUGGCGGAAUUGAUAGUGUAGCGGUGAAAUGCAUAGAUACUAUCAAGAACACCGAUUGCGUAGGCAGCUAACUAGGCUGUAACUGACGCUGAGGCACGAAAGCGUGGGGAGCGAA
Molecule: ribosomal RNA, 417 nt
Filed under: uncultured bacterium
Lineage: Bacteria
Description: bacterial SSU rRNA
Rfam family: Bacterial small subunit ribosomal RNA
Source: RNAcentral